RNAcentral lists this ribosomal RNA (433 nucleotides) under uncultured bacterium. RNAcentral describes it as "partial 16S ribosomal RNA". It matches the Rfam family "Bacterial small subunit ribosomal RNA", at positions 29 to 507 of the family's 1533-position model. The record is from RNAcentral.
AACGAACGCUGGCGGCAUGCCUAACACAUGCAAGUCGAACGAGACCUUCGGGUCUAGUGGCGCACGGGUUCGUAACGCGUGGGAACCUUCCCUUAUGGUCGGAAUACCUCCCCGACAGGGGUGCUAAUACCGGAUAAUGUCUUCGAACCAAAGAUUUAUCGCCUUUGGAUGGGCCCGCGUUGCAUUAGCUUGUUGGUAGGGUAAAAGCCUACCAAGGCGACGAUCCAUAGCUGGUCUGAGAGGAUGAUCAGCCACACUGGGACUGAGACACGGCCCAGAAUCUUCCGGGAGGCAGCAGUGGGGAAUAGUGGACAAUGGGCGAAAGGCUGAUCCAGCACUGCCGCGUGAGUGAUGAAGGCCUUAGGGUUGUAAAGCUCUUUUAACCGGGAUGAUAAUGACAGUACCGGGAGAAUAAGCUCCGGCUAACUCCGUG